CCAGAAUCACCCAGAAGGAGGAAAAGUCAGCAUUCCCAGCCCGCCCCCAGAGUGAUUCCAGGAGAUUCAGACCCUAUAAGGCAGUGAAGCUCUGUGAACAGCAAAGAUAGAGUUUUGAAAGAUUUCUUGUUCUUGGCGACGUGGGGAUUUCACAAACAGGAAAAACUGCUUUUACUUUUCCUAAAGAGGAACCAUUUAUGCCUCAUGAUGCAUUGAUGCCUGGAACUGGGCUCGCUUUAAAGUAGAGCGGAAAUGUAAGAAAUGCUCUUAGCAGAGGACAAGCAGAGAAAAAAUGGCUCUGCUGUGCAGUUUUAACCUUACUGGUGUGAAUCCUGAGGAAACACGCAGCGUGGGUGUGAGAUGAGGGGAAACCCUAUCGUUACAGCUGCCGAAAGCAAAACAAGACCUAUGAUGUUUCCUAGCUCUUUGUGUAUCAACUCAAGCAGAAGGCAGAAAGAUGUCACAGUGGAGGAGGAUCAACACAACACAUUACUGCUGUGUCAUUACUCAACUCCUAGAGAACACAAUGGAAAACUUCUGAUUAAUGACUUGGAGAGUUGGAGUUAUGUUCAAAAUCCCAAAUGAGAUGAAGUGCUGUGUGGGAACUGCUGAGUCACGGCCUGAACCUCUGAUUGAUCACCUGAGGCGAG
Centrocercus urophasianus (Greater sage-grouse) is the source of this 650-nucleotide long non-coding RNA. RefSeq lists it as uncharacterized. The record is from RefSeq and is a predicted model, not a curated record. The transcript has 3 exons. Lineage: Eukaryota; Metazoa; Chordata; Aves; Galliformes; Phasianidae.